CGAAGUGGCGGCAUGCUAUACAUGCAAGUCGAGCGAACUUGAGGGAGCUUGCUCCCAAAAGUUAGCGGCGGACGGGUGAGUAACACGUGGGCAACCUGCCUGUAAGACUGGGAUAACUUCGGGAAACCGGAGCUAAUACCGGAUAAUUCUUUUCCUCACAUGUGGAAAAGCUGAAAGAUGGCUCCGGCUAUCACUUACAGAUGGGCCCGCGGCGCAUUAGCUAGUUGGUGAGGUAACGGCUCACCAAGGCGACGAUGCGUAGCCGACCUGAGAGGGUGAUCGGCCACACUGGGACUGAGACACGGCCCAGACUCCUACGGGAGGCAGCAGUAGGGAAUCUUCCGCAAUGGACGAAAGUCUGACGGAGCAACGCCGCGUGAGUGAUGAAGGUUUUCGGAUCGUAAAACUCUGUUGUUAGGGAAGAACAAGUACCGUUCGAAUAGGGCGGUACCUUGACGGUACCUAACCAGAAAGCCACGGCUAACUACGUGCCAGCAGCCGCGGUAAUACGUAGGUGGCAAGCGUUGUCCGGAAUUAUUGGGCGUAAAGCGCGCGCAGGCGGUCUUUUAAGUCUGAUGUGAAAGCCCCCGGCUCAACCGGGGAGGGUCAUUGGAAACUGGGAGACUUGAGUGCAGAAGAGGAGAGUGGAAUUCCACGUGUAGCGGUGAAAUGCGUAGAGAUGUGGAGGAACACCAGUGGCGAAGGCGACUCUCUGGUCUGUAACUGACGCUGAGGCGCGAAAGCGUGGGGAGCGAACAGGAUUAGAUACCCUGGUAGUCCACGCCGUAAACGAUGAGUGCUAAGUGUUAGAGGGUUUCCGCCCUUUAGUGCUGCAGCAAACGCAUUAAGCACUCCGCCUGGGGAGUACGGCCGCAAGGCUGAAACUCAAAGGAAUUGACGGGGGCCCGCACAAGCGGUGGAGCAUGUGGUUUAAUUCGAAGCAACGCGAAGAACCUUACCAGGUCUGACAUCCUCUGACAAUCCUAGAGAUAGGACUUUCCCCUUCGGGGGACAGAGUGACAGGUGGUGCAUGGUUGUCGUCAGCUCGUGUCGUGAGAUGUUGGGUUAAGUCCCGCAACGAGCGCAACCCUUGAUCUUAGUUGCCAGCAUUCAGUUGGGCACUCUAAGGUGACUGCCGGUGACAAACCGGAGGAAGGUGGGGAUGACGUCAAAUCAUCAUGCCCCUUAUGACCUGGGCUACACACGUGCUACAAUGGAUGGUACAAAGGGCUGCAAGACCGCGAGGUUUAGCCAAUCCCAUAAAACCAUUCUCAGUUCGGAUUGCAGGCUGCAACUCGCCUGCAUGAAGCCGGAAUCGCUAGUAAUCGCGGAUCAGCAUGCCGCGGUGAAUACGUUCCCGGGCCUUGUACACACCGCCCGUCACACCACGAGAGUUUGUAACACCCGAAGUCGGUGGGGUAACCGCAAGGAGCCAGCCGCCUAAGGUGGAGCAGAUAAUGG
Molecule: ribosomal RNA, 1461 nt
Filed under: Bacillus sp. (in: firmicutes)
Lineage: Bacteria; Bacillati; Bacillota; Bacilli; Caryophanales; Bacillaceae
Description: bacterial SSU rRNA
Rfam family: Bacterial small subunit ribosomal RNA
Source: RNAcentral